AAGUCGUAACAAGGUUUCCGUAGGUGAACCUGCGGAAGGAUCAUUAUCGAAUCGUAGGCGAGGGUUGUCGCUGGCCUCUCGGGGCAUGUGCACGCCCGAGCCCUUGAAUCCCAAACACACAUGUGAACCCACCGUAGGCCUUCGGGCCUAUGUCUUAUCAUAUAAUCCGAAUGUCUAAUAGAAUGUAAACCCAUUUCGUUGCCUUGAAAACGUAACGAAAGAAAACUAUACAACUUUCAACAACGGAUCUCUUGGCUCUCGCAUCGAUGAAGAACGCAGCGAAAUGCGAUAAGUAAUGUGAAUUGCAGAUUUUCAGUGAAUCAUCGAAUCUUUGAACGCACCUUGCGCCCCUUGGUAUUCCGAGGGGCAUGCCUGUUUGAGUGUCAUUAAAUCCUCAACCCCUCCGAUUCGUUUCGGUGGGGAUUGGACUUGGAGCGUGCUGGCGAAGGUCGGCUCCUCUUUAAAUGCAUCAGCGGAGAAAAUGCCUUUUGCGCCUCUGGCCGUUCAGCGUGAUAAUGACGUUGCGCUGCGGUCGAGCUUAAGGUCCGCUUCCAAAGGUCCUCUCGGACGAUAUAUACAUAUGACUUUUGACCUCAAAUCAGGUAGGACUACCCGCUGAACUUAA
This 625-nucleotide ribosomal RNA is filed under the name uncultured Tylospora. Its description in RNAcentral is "eukaryotic LSU rRNA". The stretch from base 232 to 386 matches the Rfam family "5.8S ribosomal RNA". The record is from RNAcentral. Lineage: Eukaryota; Fungi; Basidiomycota; Agaricomycetes; Atheliales; Atheliaceae.